CUCGUUCUCUCCACCCACUGCUCUCUGGUUGGUGUGUUUGUUUGACGCCAGUACAUUGGGAUAAGGGUGCUGGCUUCUCCUAUCAAUGGGUUCAGCAGUGGCUGUUUGUGUAUUUCUUUAAAAAAACGUGAUCAACUUAAUAAAACCUGGGAUGGGUGUAAGAGGGUCCACAGAGGCAUGAUCUCUGCUAUAUCAUUUAAUAUUUGUUGGCCAAAUGGAGCUAUGUCCUUGCAAAUCCACCAAAUGUGUUCCAUAUCCCCCUGCUCCCCGUCAC
Pelobates cultripes (western spadefoot toad) is the source of this 274-nucleotide non-coding RNA. The record is from the annotation of a GenBank genome assembly. NCBI's taxonomy places the organism in Eukaryota, Metazoa, Chordata, Amphibia, Anura, Pelobatidae.